RNAcentral lists this non-coding RNA (27 nucleotides) under Mus musculus (house mouse). Lineage: Eukaryota; Metazoa; Chordata; Mammalia; Rodentia; Muridae. The record is from RNAcentral.
UGUAACAGUCCGGAGUGCUCUGCCUGU